RNAcentral lists this ribosomal RNA (553 nucleotides) under Aureobasidium pullulans. RNAcentral describes it as "partial large subunit ribosomal RNA". It matches the Rfam family "Eukaryotic large subunit ribosomal RNA", at positions 80 to 650 of the family's 3401-position model. The record is from RNAcentral. Lineage: Eukaryota; Fungi; Ascomycota; Dothideomycetes; Dothideales; Saccotheciaceae.
CUAGUACGGCGAGUGAGCGGCAACAGCUCAAAUUUGAAAGCUAGCCUUCGGGUUCGCAUUGUAAUUUGUAGAGGAUGAUUUGGGGAAGCCGCCUGUCUAAGUUCCUUGGAACAGGACGUCAUAGAGGGUGAGAAUCCCGUAUGUGACAGGAAAUGGCACCCUAUGUAAAUCUCCUUCGACGAGUCGAGUUGUUUGGGAAUGCAGCUCUAAAUGGGAGGUAAAUUUCUUCUAAAGCUAAAUAUUGGCGAGAGACCGAUAGCGCACAAGUAGAGUGAUCGAAAGAUGAAAAGCACUUUGGAAAGAGAGUUAAAAAGCACGUGAAAUUGUUGAAAGGGAAGCGCUUGCAAUCAGACUUGUUUAAACUGUUCGGCCGGUCUUCUGACCGGUUUACUCAGUUUGGACAGGCCAGCAUCAGUUUCGGCGGCCGGAUAAAGGCUCUGGGAAUGUGGCCUCCACUUCGGUGGAGGUGUUAUAGCCCAGGGUGUAAUACGGCCAGCCGGGACUGAGGUCCGCGCUUCGGCUAGGAUGCUGGCGUAAUGGUUGUAAGCGACCC